UGGGGAAUAUUGGACAAUGGGCGAAAGCCUGAUCCAGCCAUGCCGCGUGUGUGAAGAAGGUCUUCGGAUUGUAAAGCACUUUAAGUUGGGAGGAAGGGCAGUCAGCGAAUACCUUGCUGUCUUGACGUUACCGACAGAAUAAGCACCGGCUAACUCUGUGCCAGCAGCCGCGGUAAUACAGAGGGUGCAAGCGUCAAUCGGAAUUACUGGGCGUAAAGCGCGCGUAGGUGGUUUGUUAAGUUGAAUGUGAAAUCCCCGGGCUCAACCUGGGAACUGCAUCCAAAACUGGCAAGCUAGAGUAGGGCAGAGGGUGGUGGAAUUUCCUGUGUAGCGGCGAAAUGCGUAGAUAUAGGAAGGAACACCAGUGGCGAAGGCGACCGCCUGGGCUCAUACUGACACUGAGGUGCGAAAGCGUGGGGAGCAAA
RNAcentral lists this ribosomal RNA (425 nucleotides) under uncultured bacterium. RNAcentral describes it as "bacterial SSU rRNA". It matches the Rfam family "Bacterial small subunit ribosomal RNA", at positions 355 to 772 of the family's 1533-position model. The record is from RNAcentral.